AUUAACUAAAUGGGGUUAGAUAUAAUAUCACGAAUAAGAGUGAGCUAAACAUAAUAUGUUCAUGGGACCUUAUACGUAGCAUAGUAUAUAUAAAUAUGUGUUUAGGGGUGAUAGGCUUUCCAAACUUUUUGAUAACUUGUUGCACAUGAAAAGUAUUUAGUACAUAGACAUACUUAAAAAGUUAAGCUUUUAAGUGCUUAUAAAAAAUAGUUAGGAUUAUUCACGCAGAAUAAUUCCUAGUAAAUAAAUUAUACUUACAUUAAAUUUAUAUAAUUAUAUUUAUUAGUGUGCCAAUUAGUCAAUAUCUUACUUUGAUAAUGUUAAUAUUAGUAGUUAUUAAAAAUAUACUUAAAGAACUCGGCAAAUUUACUGCUCAACUGUUUAUCAAAAACAUAGCUAUAUGAACUAAUAUAUAGUUAUUUCUGCUCCAUGAUUGUUAAAUAGCCGCAGUACUCUGACUGUGCAAAGGUAGCAUAAUCAGUUGGCUUUUAAUUAAAGUCUGGAAUGAAUGAAAACAUGGGUGGAGACUAUCUAAGUGUAUUCAGUUGAACUUAAUAAGUAAGUGAAAAUACUUAUAUAGGUACAAAAGACGAGAAGACCCUAGAAACUUGAAAUGCUUUUUGUUGGGGCGACAAAACUACAAUUAACUAGUUUUUAAGACGUGACGUGAUGAUGAAAGAAUAAGUUACUCUAGGGAUAACAGCAUAAUUUUAUUAGUUUGUGACCUCGAUGUUGGACUAGGUAUUAUAUUCUUUAGGCAAGAAUAUAAAAUGCUCUGUUCGAGCAAAUAUACCUACAUGAUCUGAGUUCAGACCG
Molecule: ribosomal RNA, 816 nt
Filed under: Helix nucula
Lineage: Eukaryota; Metazoa; Mollusca; Gastropoda; Stylommatophora; Helicidae
Description: partial 16S ribosomal RNA
Source: RNAcentral